RNAcentral lists this non-coding RNA (28 nucleotides) under Rattus norvegicus (Norway rat). Lineage: Eukaryota; Metazoa; Chordata; Mammalia; Rodentia; Muridae. The record is from RNAcentral.
UUAAAUAUAUGGUGGGUAUGUGAAGGAU